AAUGUGCUGCACCAAGUGUUUCCCAAAAGAUCGUGGACUUUUAUAUCAGCAGCAGCCUGAUAACAGCCGAUGUCUACAUGAUCUCUCAUCAGUGACAAGCCUCCAGCUGAGCCGAAUCAUAUUCAGCCCGAUCGUGUAAAAGGACACCAUUUUUAUUUGGCGCGCUGCACAUCCGGGAAAAGCAACAGAGCAACAGAGCAACCCUGGACUUCAGCCGCUGUUUUUCUAUGGUUUUCUCGAGGGACAGAUUACACUUGCCUCAUUCGGCCGUCUGACUGGCCGAGAGAAACCUACACUCUCAGAAAAAAGAAAAAAAAAAAAAUAGUACUAAACUGUACCUUUCCUUGUCACUGGGGUGGUACACUCAAUCGAGGGUACUUGUUUUAUGUCUGUUUCACAUGGAAACAUGGAUGUAGUGUAUACCAUUACAAAUGAUUUAAGGUACAUAAAUGAAAUGGACCAUGAUUAAAGCUUUUCUCUAAAAACUGAAGGCACACUCACUAUAAGCAGCAUUCGAGGUAAUUCAUAGUAAAGGUACACAAGGUGUAAGUGUGAUUGUGGGUACCAACCCAGUGAGACUGAAAGGUACGGUUUACUCUCUCUACAACCGAGCAGAUCCACAGGAAUAUCACCUAAUAUUUAUAUAUUUAUUUCUUUUUAAAUAACUAAAGAACGAAGAGCAACCUUCUUUUAAAGAGAAUUACACUGAAUUGGGACAGGGUGUGUUCCACUAAAACAGCCUUUAUACCCUUUCACUCUUUUAUUAGCUUAUUU
Molecule: long non-coding RNA, 774 nt
Organism: Ictalurus punctatus (channel catfish)
Lineage: Eukaryota; Metazoa; Chordata; Actinopteri; Siluriformes; Ictaluridae
Source: Ensembl